This is a small nuclear RNA of Lycium ferocissimum, 101 nucleotides long. The record is from RefSeq and is a predicted model, not a curated record. NCBI's taxonomy places the organism in Eukaryota, Viridiplantae, Streptophyta, Magnoliopsida, Solanales, Solanaceae.
GCCCUUCGGGACAUCCGAUAAAAUUGGAACGCUACAGAGAAGAUUAGCAUGGCAUCUGCGCAAGGAUGACACGCACAAAUAGAGAAAUGAUCCAAGUUUUU